CCUGGCCGAAGGUUUCCUCCUGAGUCAGGCAGAGGAGAAGAGGCAGGCAGAACAGAAGUUGGGUCUAUCCGUGAAGAUGGAAGUUAAACUGGAAAGAGCUCCGUUGGAGGAAGGGCAGCCGGACCAGGCCCAGGAAUGUGCCCAAGAUGCCCUCUUUCAUGACAGCGAAGAAGCAGGGUUGAUCUUUUCUGUUUGUAGAGGUGUGAGAACGGCUGCUGCACGUCCAGUCCAGUCUCUGGUUUCUUUUGAGGAGGUGGCUGUGUCUUUCACAGAGGCAGAGUGGGCACU
This is a long non-coding RNA of Sphaerodactylus townsendi, 288 nucleotides long. RefSeq lists it as uncharacterized. The transcript is spliced from 4 exons. The record is from RefSeq and is a predicted model, not a curated record. Lineage: Eukaryota; Metazoa; Chordata; Lepidosauria; Squamata; Sphaerodactylidae.